CUUUUGAUGGCUGAGUAAUAAGGCGGUAAGUUGUAAAUUUACUUAGGAGUUAAUAACUCUCGGAUUC
RNAcentral lists this transfer RNA (67 nucleotides) under Rabdotus mooreanus. RNAcentral's name for it is "tRNA-Tyr". The record is from RNAcentral. Lineage: Eukaryota; Metazoa; Mollusca; Gastropoda; Stylommatophora; Orthalicidae.